This 523-nucleotide long non-coding RNA is filed under the name Equus caballus (horse). RNAcentral describes it as "lncRNA (ENSECAG00000056960.1)". Lineage: Eukaryota; Metazoa; Chordata; Mammalia; Perissodactyla; Equidae. The record is from RNAcentral.
GUGCCCUCCGUGUCUCUGGGACCCUCCGGGCGCCCCGAGCACCAGGCCGGGUCUCCCCGCCAAUGGCGGGGAGAGACUCUCCCCGCGGGCUCAGCAGGAAGGAUUGAAAGAGGACCACAACUCAAAUGAAGCUUUGUUAACAGUGACUUCGAACAGGGAAAAAUACAACAAAUUAGGAAUUCUGAACACUGGUACCAGAAGGCUAAGCCUCUGCCCACCCUAAAGCAAACAAACAAACAAAAUUCUGGAGAAAAGAGCGGAGGAAUAUGAACAGCUGAGAAGUUUUCCUUACUACUGUGUGCCCUGUGAGAGUCCUCAGUCAACCCUAGGAAAAAGUGCAGCAAGAUUAACGACAUUUUCUGUUAAUAACCUCAUAAAUAUUUCUACUACCUUUUCUUGAAAUUCUAGACGUUAUUGGGUCAAGUUAAAAAAAAAAAAAGAUAGGAAAGUAUCACAUGCUAUUUGGUGUCUGGCUAGGAAAAUGGCCAAUGCUAUCUAGAAGUGGGACCACACACCAUGUAUU